Molecule: ribosomal RNA, 460 nt
Filed under: uncultured bacterium
Lineage: Bacteria
Description: partial 16S ribosomal RNA
Rfam family: Bacterial small subunit ribosomal RNA
Source: RNAcentral
CCUACGGGAGGCAGCAGUGAGGAAUAUUGGUCAAUGGUCGGAAGCCUGAACCAGCCAAGUAGCGUGCAGGAUGACGGCCCUACGGGUUGUAAACUGCUUUUAUACGGGAAUAACGUGCCUUACGUGUAGGGUUUUGUAUGUACCGCAUGAAUAAGGACCGGCUAAUUCCGUGCCAGCAGCCGCGGUAAUACGGAAGGUCCGGGCGUUAUCCGGAUUUAUUGGGUUUAAAGGGAGCGUAGGCCGCAUGUCAAGCGUGCUGUGAAAUGCCGGGGCUCAACCCGGGCACUGCGGCGCGAACUGGCUUGCUUGAGUGCGCGGAACGCAGGCGGAAUUCGUGGUGUAGCGGUGAAAUGCUUAGAUAUGACGAAGAACCCCGAUUGCGAAGGCAGCUUGCGGCAGCGGUACUGACGCUGAAGCUCGAAGGCGCGGGUAUCGAACAGGAUUAGAUACCCUUGUAGUC